UACGUAGGGUGCAAGCGUUGUCCGGAUUUAUUGGGCGUAAAGAGCGUGUAGGCGGUUCGGUAGGUCCGUUGUGAAAACUCGAGGCUCAACCUCGAGACGCCGAUGGAAACCCUCGAACUAGAGUCCGGAAGAGGAGAGUGGAAUUCCUGGUGUAGCGGUGAAAUGCGCAGAUAUCAGGAAGAACACCGGUGGCGAAGGCGGGUCUCUGGGAAACAACUGACGCUGGAGGAACGAAAGCGUGGGUAGCAAACAGG
RNAcentral lists this ribosomal RNA (254 nucleotides) under uncultured bacterium. RNAcentral describes it as "partial 16S ribosomal RNA". It matches the Rfam family "Bacterial small subunit ribosomal RNA", at positions 524 to 776 of the family's 1533-position model. The record is from RNAcentral.